GACGAACGCUGGCGGCGCGCCUAACACAUGCAAGUCGAACGGAGUCAAGAGGAGCUUGCUUUUCUUGACUUAGUGGCGAACGGGUGAGUAACGCGUGAGUAACCUGCCCUGGAGUGGGGGACAACAGUUGGAAACGACUGCUAAUACCGCAUAAGCCCACGGAUCCGCAUGGAUCUGCGGGAAAAGCAUUUAUUCGCUUCAGGCUGGACUCGCGUCCAAUUAGCUAGGUGGUGAGGUAACGGCCCACCAAUGCGACGAUUGGUAGCCGGACUGAGAGGUUGAACGGCCACAUUGGGACUGAGCCACGGCCCAGACUCCUACGGGAGGGAGCAGUGGGGGAUAUUGCACAAUGGGGGCAACCCUGAUGAAGCGACGCCGCGUAGAGGAAGAAGGUUUUCGGAUUGUAAACUCCUGUCGUUAGGGACGAUAAUGACGGUACCUAACAAGAAAGCACCGGCUAACUACGUG
This 468-nucleotide ribosomal RNA is filed under the name uncultured bacterium. RNAcentral describes it as "partial 16S ribosomal RNA". It matches the Rfam family "Bacterial small subunit ribosomal RNA", at positions 28 to 507 of the family's 1533-position model. The record is from RNAcentral.